CCUACGGGCGUCAGCAGUGAGGAAUAUUGGUCAAUGGACGCAAGUCUGAACCCGCCAUGUCGCGUGCAGGAAGACGGCUCUAUGAGUUGUAAACUGCUUUUGUACGAGGGUAAACGCAGAUACGCGUAUCUGUCUGCAAGUAUCGUACGAAUAAGGAUCGGCUAACUCAGUGCCAGCAGCCGCGGUAAUACGGAGGAGUCAAGCGUUAUCCGGAUUUAUUGGGUUUAAAGGGUGCGUAGGCGGUCGGAUAAGUUAGAGGUGAAAUCCCGAGGCUCAACUUCGGAAUUGCCUCUGAUACUGUUCGGCUAGAGAGUAGUUGCGGUAGGCGGAAUGUAUGGUGUAGCGGUGAAAUGCUUAGAGAUCAUACAGAACACCGAUUGCGAAGGCAGCUUACCAAGCUACUUCUGACGUUGAGGCACGAAAGCGUGGGGAGCAAACAGGAUUAGAUACCCUAGUAGUC
RNAcentral lists this ribosomal RNA (460 nucleotides) under uncultured bacterium. Its description in RNAcentral is "partial 16S ribosomal RNA". It matches the Rfam family "Bacterial small subunit ribosomal RNA", at positions 338 to 795 of the family's 1533-position model. The record is from RNAcentral.